GGAAGGAUCAUUAUUGAAUUUAAUGUAGAGUUGGUUGUAGCUGGCCUAAUCAAUAAUUUGGGCAUGUGCACACCUUCUCUUUCAUCCACACACACCUGUGCACCUGUGAGACAGAGUGGGAAUUUUAAUUUAAUUUAAUUGGACCCUCUGUCUACUUAAUUCACACAAACUCUAUUUAUUAUAAAAUGAAUGUAAUUGAUGUAACACAUCUAAUACUAAGUUUCAACAACGGAUCUCUUGGCUCUCGCAUCGAUGAAGAACGCAGCGAAAUGCGAUAAGUAAUGUGAAUUGCAGAAUUCAGUGAAUCAUCGAAUCUUUGAACGCACCUUGCGCUCCUUGGUAUUCCUUGGAGCAUGCCUGUUUGAGUAUCAUGAAAUCUUCAAAGUAAAUCUUUUGUUAAUUCAAUUGGCUAUACUUUGGACCUGGAGGUUAUUGCAGCUUCACACCUGCUCCUCUUUGUGCAUUAGCUGGAUCUCAGUGUUAUGCUUGGUUCCACUCAGCGUGAUAAGUAUCUAUCGCUGAGGACACUGUAACAGGUGGCCAAGGUAAAUGCAGAUGAACCGCUUCUAAUCGUCCAUUUAUUUGGACAAUAACUUUUAUGAUCUGAUCUCAAAUCAGGUAGGACUACCCGCUGAACUUAAGCAUAUCAAUAAGCGGAGGAAAAGAAACUAACAAGGAUUCCCCUAGUAACGGCGAGUGAAGCGGGAAGAGCUCAAAUUUAAAAUCUGGCAGUGUAUUCUGUCCGAGUUGUAGUCUAGAGAAGCAUCAUCCGUGCUGGACCAUGUACAAGUCUCUUGGAACAGAGCGUCAUAGAGGGUGAGAAUCCCGUCCUUGACAUGGACUCCCAGUACUUUGUGUUGUGCUCUCAACGAGUCGAGUUGUUUGGGAAUGCAGCUCAAAAUGGGUGGUAAAUUCCAUCUAAAGCUAAAUAUUGGCGAGAGACCGAUAGCGAACAAGUACCGUGAGGGAAAGAUGAAAAGCACUUUGGAGAGAGAGUUAAACAGUACGUGAAAUUGUUGAAAUGGAAACGCUUGAAGUCAGUCGCGUUCUCUGGGAUUCAGCCUUGCUUCUGCUUGGUGCAUUUCCUAGUCUACGGGCCAGCAUGAAUUUUGACCAGUGGAAAAAGAUUUGGGGAAUGUGGCACCUUCGGGUGUGUUAUAGCCCCUUGUCACAUACACUGGUUGGGAUUGAGGUCUUAGUGCACGCUUCGGUUGUGCUUUGAUGCUGGCGUAAUGGCUUUAAACGACCCGUCUUGAAACACGGACCAAGGAGUCUAACAUGUCUGCAAGUGUUUGGGUGCAAAACCCGAGCGCGUAAUGAAAGUGAUAGUUGGGAACCUCAUUAGGGGGGCACCGACGCCCGGACCAGACCUUCUGUGACGGAUCCGAGGUAGAGCAUAUAUGUUGGGACCCGAAAGAUGGUGAACUAUGCCUGCAUAGGGUGAAGCCAGAGGAAACUCUGGUGGAGGCUCGUAGCGAUUCUGACGUGCAAAUCGAUCGUCAAAUGUGGGUAUAGGGGCGAAAGACUAAUCGAACCAUCUAGUAGCUGGUUCCUGC
Molecule: unclassified non-coding RNA, 1556 nt
Filed under: uncultured fungus
Lineage: Eukaryota; Fungi
Description: sequence contains 18S rRNA gene, ITS1, 5.8S rRNA gene, ITS2, 28S rRNA gene
Rfam family: Eukaryotic large subunit ribosomal RNA (bases 605-1556)
Source: RNAcentral